This 47-nucleotide ribosomal RNA is filed under the name uncultured fungus. RNAcentral describes it as "partial 5.8S ribosomal RNA". It matches the Rfam family "5.8S ribosomal RNA", at positions 1 to 46 of the family's 154-position model. Rfam says of the family: 5.8S ribosomal RNA (5.8S rRNA) is a component of the large subunit of the eukaryotic ribosome. The record is from RNAcentral. Lineage: Eukaryota; Fungi.
CAACUUUCAGCAACGGAUCUCUUGGCUCUCGCAUCGAUGAAGAACGC